CUACGGGUUGCAGCAGUGGGGAAUAUUGCACAAUGGGCGCAAGCCUGAUGCAGCCAUGCCGCGUGUAUGAAGAAGGCCUUCGGGUUGUAAAGUACUUUCAGCGGGGAGGAAGGGAGUAAAGUUAAUACCUUUGCUCAUUGACGUUACCCGCAGAAGAAGCACCGGCUAACUCCGUGCCAGCAGCCGGCGGUAAUACGGAGGGUGCAAGCGUUAAUCGGAAUUACUGGGCGUAAAGCGCACGCAGGCGGGUUGUUAAGUCAGAUGUGAAAUCCCCGGGCUCAACCUGGGAACUGCAUCUGAUACUGGCGAGCUUGAGUCUCGUAGAGGGGGGUAGAAUUCCAGGUGUAGCGGUGAAAUGCGUAGAGAUCUGGAGGAAUACCGGUGGCGAAGGCGGCCCCCUGGACGAAGACUGACGCUCAGGUGCGAAAGCGUGGGGAGCAAACAGGAUUAGAUACCCGGGUAGUC
This 465-nucleotide ribosomal RNA is filed under the name uncultured bacterium. Its description in RNAcentral is "partial 16S ribosomal RNA". It matches the Rfam family "Bacterial small subunit ribosomal RNA", at positions 339 to 795 of the family's 1533-position model. The record is from RNAcentral.